Molecule: ribosomal RNA, 887 nt
Filed under: uncultured bacterium
Lineage: Bacteria
Description: bacterial SSU rRNA
Rfam family: Bacterial small subunit ribosomal RNA
Source: RNAcentral
GUGCCAGCAGCCGCGGUAAUACAGAGGUCUCUAGCGUUGUUCGGAUUUACUGGGCGUAAAGGGCGCGUAGCGGCGCGGCGUGUCGAGUGUGAAAUCUCCGGGCUCAACCCGGAAAGUGCGCUCGAAACUGCCGCGCUCGAGUGCGGGAGAGGGAAUCGGAAUGCAGGGUGUAGCGGUGAAAUGCGUUGAUAUCCUGCAGAACACCGGAGGCGAAGGCGGAUUCCUGGAACGCAACUGACGCUGAGGCGCGAAAGUCGGGGGAGCAAACAGGAUUAGAUACCCUGGUAGUCCCGACCGUAAACGGUGCACGCUAGGGGUGGGGGGAUUUCAACCCUCCCGUCCCCAAGCCAACGCGUUAAGUGCCGCCUGGGGAGUACGGCCGCAAGGCUAAAACUCAAAGAAAUUGACGGGGGCCCGCACAAGCAGAGGAGCAUGUGGCUUAAUUCGAUGCAACGCGAAGAACCUUACCUGGGUUUGACAUCCCCGGCGAUGCCUGUGGAAACACGGGCGGAGGCUAUCCGGGAGACAGGUGCUGCAUGGCUGUCGUCAGUUCGUGCCGUGAGGUGUUUGGUUAAGUCCACCAACGAACGCAACCCCUGUGGACAGUUGCCAGCGGGUAACGCCGGGAACUCUGUCUAUACUGCUCGUUUACGCGGGAGGAAGGUGGGGAUGACGUCAAGUCAGUAUGGCCCUUACAUCCAGGGCUGCACACGUGCUACAAUGGCCGGUACAGAGGGACCCCAAGCGCAAGGCGGAGGAAACCCCUUAGAGCCGGCCCCAGUUCAGAUCGGGUCUGCAACCCGACCCCGUGAAGUCGGAUUUGCUAGUAACGGCGCAUCAGCUACGGCGCCGUGAAUGCGUUCCCGGGCCUUGUACACACCGCCCGU